Molecule: ribosomal RNA, 301 nt
Filed under: uncultured bacterium
Lineage: Bacteria
Description: partial 16S ribosomal RNA
Rfam family: Bacterial small subunit ribosomal RNA
Source: RNAcentral
CAGUCGCCGCGGGAAUACGAAGGGGGCUAGCGUUGCUCGGAAUUACUGGGCGUAAAGGGAGCGUAGGCGGACAUUUAAGUCAGGGGUGAAAUCCCAGAGCUCAACUCUGGAACUGCCUUUGAUACUGGGUGUCUUGAGUGUGAUAGAGGUAUGUGGAACUCCGAGUGUAGAGGUGAAAUUCGUAGAUAUUCGGAAGAACACAAGUGGCGAAGGCGACAUACUGGAUCAUUACUGACGCUGAGGCUCGAAAGCGUGGGGAGCAAACAGGAUUAGAUACCCCAGUAGUCCCUGUCUCUUAUAA